This is a transfer RNA of Camelus ferus (Wild Bactrian camel), 72 nucleotides long. It matches the Rfam family "tRNA". From Rfam's summary of the family: Transfer RNA (tRNA) molecules are approximately 80 nucleotides in length. Their secondary structure includes four short double-helical elements and three loops (D, anti-codon, and T loops). Lineage: Eukaryota; Metazoa; Chordata; Mammalia; Artiodactyla; Camelidae. The record is from Rfam.
GAGGGUAUCGCUCAGUGGUAGACUGCAUGCCUAGUAUGCGUGAGGUUCUGGGUUCCAUCCACAGUACCUCCA